This 245-nucleotide ribosomal RNA is filed under the name uncultured Prolixibacteraceae bacterium. RNAcentral's name for it is "partial 16S ribosomal RNA". It matches the Rfam family "Bacterial small subunit ribosomal RNA", at positions 524 to 768 of the family's 1533-position model. The record is from RNAcentral. Lineage: Bacteria; Pseudomonadati; Bacteroidota; Bacteroidia; Marinilabiliales; Prolixibacteraceae.
UACGGAGGAUGCAAGCGUUAUCCGGAUUUAUUGGGUUUAAAGGGUGCGCAGGUGGUUGAAUAAGUCAGUGGUGAAAGUCUGCCGCUUAACGGUAGGAUUGCCAUUGAUACUGUUUGACUUGAGUUUAGGUGAGGUAGGCGGAAUGUGUAGUGUAGCGGUGAAAUGCAUAGAUAUUACACAGAACACCGAUUGCGAAGGCAGCUUACUAAUCUACAACUGACACUGAGGCACGAAAGCGUGGGGAU